UACGUAGGUGGCGAGCGUUAUCCGGAAUGAUUGGGCGUAAAGGGUGCGCAGGCGGUCCUGCAAGUCUGGAGUGAAACGCAUGAGCUCAACUCAUGCAUGGCUUUGGAAACUGGAGGACUGGAGAGCAGGAGAGGGCGGUGGAACUCCAUGUGUAGCGGUAAAAUGCGUAGAUAUAUGGAAGAACACCAGUGGCGAAGGCGGCCGCCUGGCCUGUUGCUGACGCUGAGGCA
Molecule: ribosomal RNA, 230 nt
Filed under: uncultured microorganism
Description: partial 16S ribosomal RNA
Rfam family: Bacterial small subunit ribosomal RNA
Source: RNAcentral